Molecule: transfer RNA, 76 nt
Filed under: Heterocephalus glaber (naked mole-rat)
Lineage: Eukaryota; Metazoa; Chordata; Mammalia; Rodentia; Bathyergidae
Rfam family: tRNA
About the family: Transfer RNA (tRNA) molecules are approximately 80 nucleotides in length.
Source: Rfam by way of RNAcentral
UGGAAUAUAGCUCAGUGGUAGAGUGUUUACCUUGAAUUCAUGAAGCCCUGCCUGGGUUCAAUCCCUAGUACUGCAA